UUGUUUCCCUCUUCUCCAAAAAAAUUUAACCUAAUCCCCCCACCCUACACACCUUGAUCUACAUACUUCUCUUUCUCUUUUUUCUUCCUCUCUAACCUUAACGCAAACCUAUUGCCCUUCUUCUUCUCUCUAUGUUAUCACUGUCAUAUGCGACUGCUGACGCUAAGCCAUCAAGUCCAUAUUCGUCAUCGCUCCUUCUCCUCCACCGUCGUUCCUUCUCCGACAUCCUCAACUCCUCUGAAAUCCCUUCGACAUCAGACCCUAUUGAUUAUAGAACAUACAUCGAUUUUACCCUUGAUGAAGUUAUUUUAGGGCUAUCUAUUAUAUUUUAGUCUGAAAACUCUAAAUUUCUCUAUUUUAAUGUUAAUCCAUUUACCUAACUGCCCAUAUUUUUUAUUUUAGAGUUCAAACGGUGGUUUUCAAGGGUAAGAAAUCAUGAUUCCUAGGUUUUUAUGGUUUCCUUAUAUGUGCGUGGUUAUGCCUACAAUUUCGUAAGAAGGCGAGACCUUCAAGGUCUCUUUAUUCUUUGUUGAGUACGAAUUGGCAGAGAAAGGGGAAAACAAACAUGAGCAAAACAAUCAUAUAAGGGUGUGUGAUUUCUCAAAUUAGUAAUCCAAAAUUCCUAUUUUCCUUCAAUUUGACAGAUUCUUGAGGUAAUAACCAAACCCUAGUAAGGUCUGCAACUGCUCCAAAAGGCUGUGUGUUACGAGCAACUCCCAUUAAAAGGAAAUUGAUGCAGUAAUGGGUGAUUCAACAAUCUUGGUCAACAGAUAUGAGUAUGUUGACUUUAUAUCGACUUACACCGACUUGGGUGUAAAAACACUAGAAAGAAUCAAGAAAAAUGACAAGUAAUUCUUUUUGAAGCCGAUGGCAAUUAAUCUUUGGACUAUGGCUAAUUGCUAUUUCUUUUCUUAGCUACAAUGCCUUUUUUGUUUGGGCUAUUGAACGUAUGCAUCCAGAUUCCGAUCAACAAAUUAGAAUUGUAUUUUGAAGCAUUCUAUUGACCAUCUUCUUUUCUCAAACUUCUUCCUCUAUAUCUAGAAUAUGGGUUUACUCUUUUAAAUAUAAUUUAAUUAAGAUUUUGCAGUGA
Molecule: long non-coding RNA, 1090 nt
Organism: Lactuca sativa (garden lettuce)
Lineage: Eukaryota; Viridiplantae; Streptophyta; Magnoliopsida; Asterales; Asteraceae
Source: RefSeq, a predicted model, not a curated record